This 121-nucleotide ribosomal RNA is filed under the name Finegoldia magna. RNAcentral describes it as "partial 16S ribosomal RNA". It matches the Rfam family "Bacterial small subunit ribosomal RNA", at positions 1415 to 1533 of the family's 1533-position model. The record is from RNAcentral. Lineage: Bacteria; Bacillati; Bacillota; Tissierellia; Tissierellales; Peptoniphilaceae.
UAAUACCCGAAGCCUGUGACCUAAUUGAGGAGCAGUCGAAGGUAGGAUUGAUGACUGGGGUGAAGUCGUAACAAGGUAGCCGUAUCGGAAGGUGCGGCUGGAUCACCUCCUUUCUAAGGAG